CUCCUACGGGAGGCAGCAGUGAGGAAUAUUGGUCAAUGGGCGCGAGCCUGAACCAGCCAAGUCGCGUGAGGGAGGACGGCCCUACGGGUUGUAAACCUCUUUUGCCGGGGAGCAACGGGCGUCACGUGUGGCGCCACUGAGAGUACCCGGAGAAAAAGCAUCGGCUAACUCCGUGCCAGCAGCCGCGGUAAUACGGAGGAUGCGAGCGUUAUCCGGAUUCAUUGGGUUUAAAGGGUGCGCAGGCGGGCCUUUAAGCCGGCGGUGAAA
RNAcentral lists this ribosomal RNA (267 nucleotides) under uncultured bacterium. Its description in RNAcentral is "partial 16S ribosomal RNA". It matches the Rfam family "Bacterial small subunit ribosomal RNA", at positions 336 to 599 of the family's 1533-position model. The record is from RNAcentral.